This 304-nucleotide ribosomal RNA is filed under the name uncultured bacterium. RNAcentral describes it as "partial 16S ribosomal RNA". It matches the Rfam family "Bacterial small subunit ribosomal RNA", at positions 506 to 807 of the family's 1533-position model. The record is from RNAcentral.
CAGCAGUAGCCGCGGGAAAACGUAGGGUGCGAGCGUUAAUCGGAAUUACUGGGCGUAAAGCGUGCGCAGGCGGUUCGUUAAGUCUGUUGCGAAAGCCCCGGGCUCAACCUGGGAAUGGCAAUGGAUACUGGCGAGCUAGAGUGUGUCAGAGGAUGGUGGAAUUCCCGGUGUAGCGGUGAAAUGCGUAGAGAUCGGGAGGAACAUCAGUGGCGAAGGCGGCCAUCUGGGACAACACUGACGCUGAGGCACGAAAGCGUGGGGAGCAAACAGGAUUAGAUACCCCGGUAGUCCCUGUCUCUUAUAC